RNAcentral lists this ribosomal RNA (484 nucleotides) under uncultured bacterium. RNAcentral's name for it is "partial 16S ribosomal RNA". It matches the Rfam family "Bacterial small subunit ribosomal RNA", at positions 30 to 507 of the family's 1533-position model. The record is from RNAcentral.
AUUGAACGCUGGCGGCAGGCCUAACACAUGCAAGUCGAGCGGAUGAAGGGAGCUUGCUCCUGGAUUCAGCGGCGGACGGGUGAGUAAUGCCUAGGAAUCUGCCUGGUAGUGGGGGAUAACGUCCGGAAACGGGCGCUAAUACCGCAUACGUCCUGAGGGAGAAAGUGGGGGAUCUUCGGACCUCACGCUAUCAGAUGAGCCUAGGUCGGAUUAGCUAGUUGGUGGGGUAAAGGCCUACCAAGGCGACGAUCCGUAACUGGUCUGAGAGGAUGAUCAGUCACACUGGAACUGAGACACGGUCCAGACUCCUACGGGAGGCAGCAGUGGGGAAUAUUGGACAAUGGGCGAAAGCCUGAUCCAGCCAUGCCGCGUGUGUGAAGAAGGUCUUCGGAUUGUAAAGCACUUUAAGUUGGGAAGAAGAGCAGUAAGUUAAUACCUGGCUGUUUUGACGUUACCAACAGAAUAAGCACCGGCUAACUUCGUG